UGCAAUCACAUUUCCUUUGCCUUCCACUA
RNAcentral lists this non-coding RNA (29 nucleotides) under Mus musculus (house mouse). The record is from RNAcentral. Lineage: Eukaryota; Metazoa; Chordata; Mammalia; Rodentia; Muridae.